AACAGGAUUAGAUACCCUGGUAGUCCACGCUGUAAACGAUGUCGACUUGGAGGUUGUUCCCUUGAGGAGUGGCUUCCGGAGCUAACGCGUUAAGUCGACCGCCUGGGGAGUACGGCCGCAAGGUUAAAACUCAAAUGAAUUGACGGGGGCCCGCACAAGCGGUGGAGCAUGUGGUUUAAUUCGAUGCAACGCGAAGAACCUUACCUACUCUUGACAUCCAGAGAACUUAGCAGAGAUGCUUUGGUGCCUUCGGGAACUCUGAGACAGGUGCUGCAUGGCUGUCGUCAGCUCGUGUUGUGAAAUGUUGGGUUAAGUCCCGCAACGAGCGCAACCCUUAUCCUUUGUUGCCAGCACGUAAUGGUGGGAACUCAAAGGAGACUGCCGGUGAUAAACCGGAGGAAGGUGGGGAUGACGUCAAGUCAUCAUGGCCCUUACGAGUAGGGCUACACACGUGCUACAAUGGCAUAUACAAAGAGAAGCGAACUCGCGAGAGCAAGCGGACCUCAUAAAGUAUGUCGUAGUCCGGAUUGGAGUCUGCAACUCGACUCCAUGAAGUCGGAAUCGCUAGUAAUCGUAGAUCAGAAUGCUACGGUGAAUACGUUCCCGGGCCUUGUACACACCGCCCGUCACACCAUGGGAGUGGGUUGCAAAAGAAGUAGGUAGCUUAACCUUCGGGAGGGCGCUUACCACUUUGUGAUUCAUGACUGGGGUGAAGUCGUAACAAGGUAACC
RNAcentral lists this ribosomal RNA (731 nucleotides) under uncultured bacterium. RNAcentral describes it as "bacterial SSU rRNA". It matches the Rfam family "Bacterial small subunit ribosomal RNA", at positions 771 to 1501 of the family's 1533-position model. The record is from RNAcentral.